CCAGCACCUGCGGUAAUUCCAGCUCCAAUAGCGUAUACUAAAGUUGCUGCAGUUGAAAAGCUCGUAGUUGAUAUUGAGAGACGAUUAAAAUAGUUUUAAAUUAUUUUGUCGACUCUUUUUCUUUAAAGAAUAGAAAAAUUUAUUUUUCCUUUCUUUUUGAUACCUUGAAUAAAAAAGAGUGUUUAAAGCAAAUUUAUCAUGGAUUUAUCCAUUUUAUUUCUUUGAAUUAUUAAGCAUGGAAUAUCUCUAAUCCUUAAAGACUAAUUAGAAAUCUGGUUUUUUUUCAUUUUAAUCUAAAUGAUUAAUGGAAUCAGUUGGGGUCAUUAGUAUUUAAUUGUCAGAGGUGAAAGUCUUAUAUUAAUUACAGACUAACUUAUGCGAAAGCAUUUGACGAGGAUGUUUUCAUCAAUCAAGAACGAAAGG
RNAcentral lists this ribosomal RNA (423 nucleotides) under uncultured eukaryote. RNAcentral describes it as "partial small subunit ribosomal RNA". It matches the Rfam family "Eukaryotic small subunit ribosomal RNA", at positions 567 to 990 of the family's 1831-position model. The record is from RNAcentral.